AACCAGUUUAUUUAUUAAUUUUAUUUAGGUGUUUUUAUUAAAUUUUAUAUUAUUUUUCACUGUUUCAAUGUACUUCAUCAGUUGUAUUUACCGUAAUAAUUUGAUGUCAUUUAUUUUACGUAUUAACCAUAAUAAUUUCACAUGUCAUUUAAAUGAAAUUGUUCCAUUAGUGGAAAAAAUUCAAACCGGUUAACAAUAUAUUUUUUAUUUAUUUACAUCAGUUAAACAUGGACAUUCAAGUAUACGUACGGAUAUAGAUUGGUUUUACGGUAUCGGGUUUUUGGAUUCUAAAAUUAAACUUAUGUUAAAAUAUUAUAAAUUUUUGGAUAUGAUUCGAAUUAGAUUCUUUCGAGUACAUAUAAGUUUUUAAGAACCUAAAAAUAUAUAAAUAACUUAUAUAUUUAAAAAUAUCACUAAACAAUUUAUGAAAAUGUAAAAAUUAAUAUUUGCACGGACGUACGGAUCAAGCUCUAGUAGUCUUUAAAAUAAACACUAAAACUAAAAACACGAAGAAAGAUGAGUAUUAAUUAAGGAAUUAACAGAAAAGGAAAAGCAAACGACAAUGGUAAGUGGGGGUCACGUAAAAUCUGUUCCAUUCUUGUCUAUUGAAAUGAAGAUUGCGUAUGGACGUGCUCUGCUGGUUCGUCACGAGUGAUUCAUUUUUCUCCAUCUCUCGCUCCAUAGUUUCAAAACUGAUAUAUAUAUAUCAUUUUAGAUGUUUUUUAUUUGCUUUUGCCCCAUACAGAUUCACACACUUCUUUUGGAUUACUUAAAUUCUACUGAUCAUAUUAAAACUCUUUAUUCAUCUCACGUGAUUCUUAUAAAUUAUUGUUAUACAAAAAGGGAGGGCAAUCCAUAACUAAAUCCUUACUUCUUUGCAUACAUUCAAGGCUGAUUGCUUUUCGAAGUGGUUUUAGGAAAAAAAAUGGUUUUAGAAGAAAAAAAAAAUAGUUUUAGAAAAUAACGGCUCUCCAACGGAAGCUACUGGGCCAAUUCUUUGAUAUCAUGGCCCAUGUGCUUUAUUAUUUCAUUACACCCAUGCUCAUUUCUCUUUACACCAUCUUUAACGCUGGUUCUAAUGUGGGAUCUUAAGUCCAAAUUUAAUUAAAAAAAUUAAAAAUAAAAGAAUUGGGCUAAGAGGUUGAUUCCUGGAAACCUUACGGAGGAGGCGCCUCUUGCUCGUCUCUUCGUCUCUCUCUCUCUUUCUCCCUUUCCCACAGAGAAUCUCGAAUUUCUCAUACCAAAUUCCAUACAUUUUUGACGGUGGUGCUGCUUGUGAUCUGCACUUGCACUUAUCUCAAGAUGCAGUUCCCUGCCAUUCUCGAGCAAAAAAAAAAAUCAGUCGACCCAGAAGAAGAAGAUGCCGAGGAGAAAGAUUACGAGAACUCCGACGAAGAAGAUGGGAACCAUGGCAUUGAGAGAUACGGAUCUUCUUCUGCUUCAGUGUUUGAUUUCUCUGCAUCCCACUCCGCUAGAGACUCUGGCCUUCCUUCAGCUAAUGACGUUUUCUCUCAGGUUAUCAUCACUUUCUUUCUUAGAAUCCAUCAAAUUUCGAGGAGUUAUUGACUAGAUUCGCUGCAGGAACUGAAUGAUUUCUUAUUUUGGAUUAAAAUUUGUUAGAUGGAUCCAUAAAGUUCUGUGUAAAUAUUUGCUGAUAUCAGGGCCACCAGAGUUUCUAAACAACCGUACAGAAGCUGAUGAAGAAGCCACUGCUAGAGAUGCUGAGCAUGCUAAGCGUAUGACCCAAUAAAAAGAAGAAAGCUAAACCUAAAGGUGUUUUCAUGGAAGCAAAACCUCAGCUUGUCGGGAUCCAUGAGAGAGUCAGAAACGAUAUUGAUGCACAACCUUCUUAAGAGAAUGGUGGAAAGCGAAUAUCUACUGCAACCAAUCCAAAUGCAGAAGAAGCUGCAGAUCUCUUGAGGUUCGAGCUAUAUUGUUGGAUCCUUCUUGCUCUGGCUCUGGAACCAUUACAGAUCGUCUAGACCAUCUCCUUCCUUCUCAUUCAGCAGAUGACGAGCAAACACAGAAAGAUAUGGUCAGAGGAGAACACGGAUGUACGACGGUGAAUCGAAAGCCAAGAUUUUUUGUCUCCUCCACAUCAAGCUGAUGUAAACCAUGAGCUCCACUUACGACAAUACGUUUAAAGGUCAACGUGUCUCCUCUUCGCCAUGGUCGUCAUGCUCGAGAUCUUAGUUGUGGCUGUCAGAAUCGUCAUCGCUUCAGCCGCAGAUCUGAGAGAAAGCUUGAUAGGAGCAACAAUGGUGAACUUUUUUUAUUUACAACAUAUGGUCCUCCAACUCUUGUUUAUUCUCCAAUUUAUCUCAAACUUCUAAUCUGUUCAAUUUUCUUUACAAUUACCCCCAAUAUUUUUAAUUGUACAAUCGACUAUCGAAUAUUCUAAUUUUGCAUCA
Molecule: long non-coding RNA, 2411 nt
Organism: Brassica napus (rape)
Lineage: Eukaryota; Viridiplantae; Streptophyta; Magnoliopsida; Brassicales; Brassicaceae
Exons: 4
Source: RefSeq, a predicted model, not a curated record